Molecule: small nuclear RNA, 102 nt
Organism: Apodemus sylvaticus (European woodmouse)
Lineage: Eukaryota; Metazoa; Chordata; Mammalia; Rodentia; Muridae
Source: RefSeq, a predicted model, not a curated record
GUUACAGCAGCACAUAUACUAAAAUUGGACCGAUACGGAGAAGAUUAGCACGGCCCCUGCGCAAAGGAUGAUAUACAAAUUUGUGAAGUGUUCCGUAUUUUA